CCUACGGGAGGCAGCAGUGAGGAAUAUUGGUCAAUGGACGGAAGGCUGAACCAGCCAUGCCGCGUGAAGGUCAGUGCCCUAUGGGCGUUAAACUUCUUUUGUGCGGGGGCAAUAAUGGUCACGUGUGGCCAGACGUGAGUUCCGGACGAAUAAGCAUCGGCUAACUCCGUUCCAGCAGCCGCGGUAAUACGGGGGAUGCAAGCCGUUUCCGGAUUUAUUGGGUUUAAAGGGUGCGUAGGCUGUGAGGUACUUCAGCGGGGAAAUGCCCCCGCUCAACGGGGUGAAGUGCCAUUGAUACUGCCCGGCUGGAAUGCGUAUGCGGUAGGAGGAAUGUGUGGUGUAGCGGUGAAAUGCAUAGAGAUCACACAGAACACCGAUUGCGAAGGCAUCUCACGAAUCCGCGAUUGACGCUGAUGCACGAAAGCGUGGGUAUCAAACAGGAUUAGAUACCCGAGUAGUC
RNAcentral lists this ribosomal RNA (460 nucleotides) under uncultured bacterium. RNAcentral describes it as "partial 16S ribosomal RNA". It matches the Rfam family "Bacterial small subunit ribosomal RNA", at positions 338 to 795 of the family's 1533-position model. The record is from RNAcentral.